RNAcentral lists this long non-coding RNA (942 nucleotides) under Androctonus crassicauda. The record is from RNAcentral. Lineage: Eukaryota; Metazoa; Arthropoda; Arachnida; Scorpiones; Buthidae.
AAAAUCGUGUAGGUCAAGGCAAAGUAUUUCGGCUCUUAUUUCAAGAGAGUUUUAUCUGUCAACAUAUUGGUUCGGAUCCGAAAAUCUUGUCUAUCCGUGUAAUCUCGUAUAAUAUAUACACAAACAAGCAGAGGGUGAAUGGACUAAUGUCCUCCAUACGCCUUCUGGCAAGAGUCCGUUUCUUUCCGCUUCACCAAAUACAAAUACGACUUAGUCCGACACAUUAUACAAUGUUGCUGUAAUUUUUACCACUGCCGCCGCUUCUAUGGCAAUCUUCCAAUAGGAAUUAUACGGCCAAGUGGGACGCUAUCUUUACAAUUCUCAGCUCUAUAAUUGGAUAUUAGCGCGUCGAGACGUCUUCCAUGUGUGACAGCCGAUGGAGCGCAACGCGGGUAAACACGUCUGGUCACCGAAGGUCAACCGAAUACACCUGGAAUACAGGAAUUCCAGUCCAGGAGUUUCGGCCGAGAAAUGAUAAUGGCCCGACUCGGGACUUUGUUUUUAAUACAUAAUCCGCUUUUCAUCGGGUCGUAUCUCUGGUUCAGACAGUUGGAAUGUUACCCGCGUGAAGUCUGCUAUCCAGGAAUUUCUAGUCGCCAUGUUUCCUCCAUAGCCACGACUGCCCUGCCCUCCCAUCUUUCCCAUUUGAGGAGGAAUUUCAUUUUUAAACCCGUUUGACAAUAGGAGAUUUGUAAGCUAUAACUAAAGCUAUUGCUGUAACUGAUCAGCACCAUAAAAUUAUGAGAUGAUUUUGGAUCUUUCAAUCAUUGAUGAAGAGGGAUUUCUCAUUACUACACCUGCGGAUCAGUUAACAACGCGCACUUUUUGUUGGGCUGUGGGGAACAAAUCAAGAUGAGAUUACUUUCUACGUUAAAACUUAUAACUCGUGAUUAUUCUAUUGUACAUCUUUUUCCAAACAGUUUUAGAUUUUAUAUUCAAAAA